This 131-nucleotide non-coding RNA is filed under the name Chaetoceros debilis. Lineage: Eukaryota; Bacillariophyta; Thalassiosirophyceae; Chaetocerotales; Chaetocerotaceae. The record is from RNAcentral.
UUGUUAUGCUCCUUGAAGGCAUCCUCCUAAGAACAAUCAUUUUGAGGCUUUCUUGUAGUUAUCUUCUGCAAAUGACGAGCAUGUAUAUCUCGGUUAAAUAUUUUAGUCCAAUAGUCUAAAGCUAUUUAGAA